This 2014-nucleotide long non-coding RNA is filed under the name Helianthus annuus (common sunflower). Its description in RNAcentral is "hypothetical non coding rna". Lineage: Eukaryota; Viridiplantae; Streptophyta; Magnoliopsida; Asterales; Asteraceae. The record is from RNAcentral.
UUGUUGAAAAACCCACCACACCGGAGAGAGAGAGACAGAGCAUACCGCACGGGAGAGAGAGCAUGAACGGGUGGACGAUGAUGGUGGCUUCGAGGUAACAGUGAGGGUUUACAAGCUAGAGGAGCACCAGCCACCUGAUCUAGGGUUUCUGGAAGGGUUGGAUGUCUGGCAACAACUCCUCCGACGAAGGUUUGCCUGUAAAUUAGGGUUUAUUGUUGCUUUUCUGUUUACCGUCGCUGAAAAGCUCUGAAACCCGAUGACCAACUGAUUUGAGCUUGUGGGUACGUUACAGUAACAAGAUGGAGGCGGCGUGAGCUACGAUUAUUACGGGUCUCUGUUUGACUCCGUCAAGAAUUCCGAACUCCAGCGAAGCUUCAACGACUUCUCCGGUGACCGAUAUGGCUGUUGUUGUGUAAGUUUGAUGCGUUGUUUGCAGUGGUUUGUUGGUAGUUGUUGUGAUUUUAAGUUCAUAAUCUGGUUAUAUGAUUUGUAUUAGUUCUUUGUUGAGAUUAUAGUUUGAUUUUAGUAUUAAAUGAUAUUUUCGAAUCCAGAUCUCUAUUAUCUUACUGUGAACGAACUAUUUGAUUUUACUUGUAAAUGUAUAUUGGUCAGUGAAUCUCGCUAUUUGGUCUAAGCUGUCAUCCGUUUUUUUUGCGUUGAUUAUCUAAAUUCAAUGUUCGUAUUUUCAGAUGUAGAGGAGUAUAUGGGUUUAAUAACAUUUAUUACGAUUUUGGUAUGAGGUGAUGUUUCAGAAUCCAGAUAUGUGUGCAGUUGGCUAAGUAUGCAGCUUUAACACCGCCGUUAAUUAAAGUAAGGCCUUAUCGAGUCAGAUGGGAAGCAACGGAGAGAGAAAGGGCAAAGUCGGAUGGCGGAGUUACCGCGUUACUUCGACAAUAACCUCACUCCAGUGACGACGACAUGCGACGGGUAGGACUUCUAAGAUUCCGACUUACCUUUGUUGGUCAUAUUGUGAUUUAAGCUUCAGAAUCGAUUUGCAGUAUUUCAUCUCAGUAAAUCAAUUUUAGCAGCUAUCUGGUUAGGCUUUUUAUAAGGUAUUUUAAGUUGUUAGUUCCUUUGAUUAAAUAAUAGAAUGGAUUCGAGUGUCAAAAUUAUUUAGUAAAUGUUUUUGCAACUUCUACACCCACUGCAACUGAACAUCGUGAUGUGAUUUGGAGUGACCGAAGAAGUAUAUUGUUAAGGUUUGUGAGAAACAACGUGUGCUUUCAUUCAAAAAAAGUGAGGAAUUAGUCAAAUCUACACAUGUUGCUAGGGAUGAGCUCGGUAUCGACAGGUACCGAAAGUACCGGUACCGAAAAUCCUUAAAAGUGGGUACCGAUACCGGUACCGAUUAUACCCAAUACGCUUCGGUACCGGUACCGGUAUUUGAGGGUAAUAACCGAUAAAUACCGGUACCGAACCGGUACCGAAAAUGCCAAAAGUUGGUGCUGAAUCGGUACCGAAAAUGUACCCGGUUUGGUAAAUUCGGUACCGGUACCGGUUCCGGGUCCAAUUUGCUCAUCCCUACAGUGUUGCUUGGUAGGAAGCUUCCUCAAUAACAAUUUUUGAUUCAUAUAAACUCGAUCUGUUAAGUUUGAUUGUUGGACAUGACAACUAUGGUGCGGUUUCCAUAAAACGGGUACUGGUAUUAUGGGCCAAGUGAAGCUCCAGGGAUUAACAAAUGGAUCGGUCGUUGACCUUCUGAGCAUUGGACAUAUUGAGUUGGAUUCAAAUGAGAAGCACUAGGGCAGGACACUGGUGGUUCAUCACUUUGGAUCUCAGGGUCAGACUUGGUACAAGACUUCACGGGAAAGGCGAAACGCGUGUCAAUGGUUAAAGCAUCAGACGUUAUUGGUCUGCUAAUAUUGCUCCAACUAACGGUUGCUCAGAUUGUAGUUACAAAGAACCAUGUUUGAACUGUUGAUAGCUUAUUAUGUUAAUUGUACUUACAUAGGUUGUAGCACAACAAAGGACAUGAUAAAUGCUUGCAACCAUACCUGAAUAAAUAAAUCACAAU